AUUGAACGCUGGCGGCAGGCCUAACACAUGCAAGUCGAGCGAGUGGCGGACGGGUGAGUAAUGUCUGGGGAACUGCCCGAUGGAGGGGGAUAACUACUGGAAACGGUAGCUAAUAUCGCAUACUAUCGGAUGAACCCAGAUGGGAUUAGCUAGUAGGUGGGGUAAAGGCUCACCUAGGCGACGAUCCCUAGCUGGUCUGAGAGGAUGAUCAGCCACACUGGGACUGAGACACGGUCCAGACUCCUACGGUAGGCAGCAGUGGGGAAUAUUGCACAAUGGGCGCAAGCCUGAUGCAGCCAUGCCGCGUGUAUGAAGAAGGCCUUAGGGUUGUAAAGUACUUUCAGCGGGGAGGCGUUACCCGCAGAAGAAGCACCGGCUAACUCCGUGCCAGCAGCCGCGGUAAUUC
Molecule: ribosomal RNA, 406 nt
Filed under: uncultured bacterium
Lineage: Bacteria
Description: partial 16S ribosomal RNA
Rfam family: Bacterial small subunit ribosomal RNA
Source: RNAcentral